GGCAGAGGCGAUAGUCGAUUGAAUUCCCCAGUUCCCAAUGGAUCACUGAAGUUAAGCAAAGUUGGGCGUGGUUAGUAUCCGGAUAACUUACCAUUCCAGGCAAUCGCGUGCUACUGACU
This 119-nucleotide ribosomal RNA is filed under the name Diaphorina citri (Asian citrus psyllid). Lineage: Eukaryota; Metazoa; Arthropoda; Insecta; Hemiptera; Psyllidae. The record is from RNAcentral.